GAACUUGGGGAUAAAAGGAUGUUGGAGAGGAUUAUUUAUUCUAGAGAGAGCCCAUGAGUGGGGUGAGGGGCGUGCAGAGGGAGAGAGAGAAUCCUGAAGCUGACUCCCACUGACUGGACUGCAGCGCUCAAUGCGCUCCUCAGGACCCGGAGAUCAUGACCUGAGCCAAAAUCAAAAGCCAGCCGCUGCUUACUGAGCCACCCAGAUACAUGCAAGCAGUUCCUGACUCCUUCACCCAGCCAAAGGAUGAUCCUUAGUACUCAAAACAAAUCCAUCCUGAUGUCCCCUCUGGACUCUACAGCAAUGGCCCUCCAUAAUAGUUACUUGUCCCUACCUAUGGACCAAAAUUGUCCCUACAUCUCUAUAACCCCUGUUAGCUUGAAGAAGUUACAGAAGACAAGCCCUUCAUCCUUCAACAACCUUAAAGAUUUGAGGACCAAACAUUGGUCAGAGGGGAAAUUAUGAUGGAUAGAAGCAAAAAAAAAUGUUCAUCUUUAACCCAGAGAACCAAGCAUGGAGCCCAGUUCAGGAUUCAAACUCACAAUCCUGAGAAAGAGUUGGAUGCUCAAUCAACUGAGCUACCCAAGCACCCCAACGGGCUGCUAUAUUCUUAAAGGGCCUCACAACUGCCUGUACAGCUCACUGAUAGCUAAUAUCAAGCUGAAUGAUAAGCACCAGAGAAAUCCUGGUAGUUUUAUAAGCAGAAAUUCAAAGAAAGACACUUAGAAUCUAGUACUCGUGCACUAAGCAUAUAAGCACCAGCUUCAUACAGCAAAAGUGCAGCUCUUUUGGCCCAUGUCCCCAUGUUGUAAUAAAAAGCACUUUUUGAACUAAAAACAUCUCAAGAAUUCUUGACCAUUCACUCACAACUUCACAUCACUCACAUGGACUUUCCUCUGCUUGCAUUUCCUGUAUCUCUGUUCUCAUCA
Nyctereutes procyonoides (raccoon dog) is the source of this 929-nucleotide long non-coding RNA. RefSeq lists it as uncharacterized. NCBI's taxonomy places the organism in Eukaryota, Metazoa, Chordata, Mammalia, Carnivora, Canidae. The record is from RefSeq and is a predicted model, not a curated record. The transcript is spliced from 3 exons.